RNAcentral lists this ribosomal RNA (468 nucleotides) under uncultured bacterium. Its description in RNAcentral is "partial 16S ribosomal RNA". It matches the Rfam family "Bacterial small subunit ribosomal RNA", at positions 28 to 507 of the family's 1533-position model. The record is from RNAcentral.
GACGAACGCUGGCGGCGUGCUUAACACAUGCAAGUCGAACGGAAAGGCCCUGCUUUUGUGGGGUGCUCGAGUGGCGAACGGGUGAGUAACACGUGAGUAACCUGCCCUUGACUUUGGGAUAACUUCAGGAAACUGGGGCUAAUACCGGAUAGGAGCUCCUGCUGCAUGGUGGGGGUUGGAAAGUUUCGGCGGUUGGGGAUGGACUCGCGGCUUAUCAGCUUGUUGGUGGGGUAGUGGCUUACCAAGGCUUUGACGGGUAGCCGGCCUGAGAGGGUGACCGGGCACAAUGGGACUGAGGUACGGCCCAGACGCCUACGGGACGCAGCAGGGGGGAAUAUUGCACAAUGGGCGGAAGCGUGAUGCAGCAGCCCCGCGUGCGGGAUGACGGGCUUCGGGGUGUAAACCACUUUCGCCUUUGACGAGGCGUGAGUGACGGUAAUGGGUAAAGAAGCACCGGCUAACUACGUG